AACAGUGAAAGGACCAGAAGAUGAUGGCAAGAGAGGCUGUUUUUCCAUCAUGAGUACAACUGAGAAAUAAAGAAAUUUUAGACUGCAAUCCUCACAGCCAGAAGCUCCUCUCUGGACAGGUAGCUCUUCUGGAAUGUGUCUUCUGAUAUGAAGUCAAUCCUGAGUGUGAACAGACUCCUUCUCUUAUCCUUGAAGAGAAAGAUAUUAAAGGAGCUCCACAAAACCAUGAACAUGUGCUAAGGCAGAGAG
This 249-nucleotide long non-coding RNA is filed under the name Dromaius novaehollandiae (emu). Its description in RNAcentral is "lncRNA (ENSDNVG00000000613.1)". Lineage: Eukaryota; Metazoa; Chordata; Aves; Casuariiformes; Dromaiidae. The record is from RNAcentral.